AAUAUUGACUGAUAAUUCUUUCCUGGAGUAGGGUCUAAUCCUAUUCGAGGGGGGAACUCAGCGAACCCGUGUCUUUUGCGUACUAUCUGUUUCCUUGGUAGGCUUGCCUACCAUUAGGACAUCAUAAAAACCUUUUGUAAUUGUAGUCAGCGUCAGCAAUAACUUAAUAGUUA
This 173-nucleotide unclassified non-coding RNA is filed under the name uncultured fungus. RNAcentral describes it as "sequence contains ITS1". The record is from RNAcentral. Lineage: Eukaryota; Fungi.